This 240-nucleotide unclassified non-coding RNA is filed under the name soil metagenome. Its description in RNAcentral is "partial contains 5.8S ribosomal RNA, internal transcribed spacer 2, and large subunit ribosomal RNA". The record is from RNAcentral.
AACACUGUUAACCUGCGGUACCUGCGGAAGGAUCAUUGCCACACAAAAUAUUAAAUAUACAGUUACACUAGUUGUAACUGUAUAAACACUUUAUGUGAACUGUUAAAUGUUUGCGUUUCUAAUUUGAAUUAUUUUAGAAUUAUUCAAGUUAGUUUACGCUUCUACCCCAACCCACCUUUGUUAAACAAAAUGAUUAAUUCAUUGGAAGUAAAUUAGCGAAAUAAAAAACGCUAGAUUGAA